GAAGAUUAAGUGAUCAUAUCCUGGUCAGUGCACGUAAUCUAGCAAUACCAGGUCAGAUUUUAUCUGACUCAUCACUGCUGAAGGGAUUGAAAGUAAAUGUUAGUUUUGAUAGUUACAUACUUGGAAAGAAUUUGGCACACAUCCCACUGACAAUACACACACACACACGCAACCCCAUUUAUACAAAAACACAAAGUGUGACCAAUCAUCCACACAGAAUGCCACAAGCAGCCUCCAUUUAUAGCUAUACUACACUACAAACUACUCAUGAACGUGUACAACCCACAUACACAAGUGGGUUGUUCUAU
Non-coding RNA from Pelobates cultripes (western spadefoot toad), 308 nucleotides. Lineage: Eukaryota; Metazoa; Chordata; Amphibia; Anura; Pelobatidae. The record is from the annotation of a GenBank genome assembly.